Molecule: ribosomal RNA, 469 nt
Filed under: uncultured bacterium
Lineage: Bacteria
Description: partial 16S ribosomal RNA
Rfam family: Bacterial small subunit ribosomal RNA
Source: RNAcentral
GAUGAACGCUGGCGGCGUGCUUAACACAUGCAAGUCGAACGGUGAACACGGAGCUUGCUCUGUGGGAUCAGUGGCGAACGGGUGAGUAACACGUGAGCAACCUGCCCCUGACUCUGGGAUAAGCGCUGGAAACGGCGUCUAAUACUGGAUAUGUGACGUGACCGCAUGGUCUGCGUUUGGAAAGAUUUUUCGGUUGGGGAUGGGCUCGCGGCCUAUCAGCUUGUUGGUGAGGUAAUGGCUCACCAAGGCGUCGACGGGUAGCCGGCCUGAGAGGGUGACCGGCCACACUGGGAUUGAGACACGGCCCAGACUCCUACGGGAGGCAGCAGUGGGGAAUAUUGCACAAUGGGCGAAAGCCUGAUGCAGCAACGCCGCGUGAGGGAUGACGGCCUUCGGGUUGUAAACCUUUUUUAGCAGGGAAGAGGCGAAAGUGACGGUACCUGCAGAAAAAGCGCCGGCUAACUACGUG